AUACGGAAGGCAGCAGUGAGGAAUAUUGGACAAUGGGCGCAAGCCUGAUCCAGCCAUGCCGCGUGCAGGAAGAAGCAUCUAUGGUGUGUAAACUGCUUUUGUACGGGAAGAAACUCUCCUACGUGUAGGAGCUUGACGGUACCGCAAGAAUAAGGAUCGGCUAACUCCGUGCCAGCAGCCGCGGUAAUACGGAGGAUCCAAGCGUUAUCCGGAAUCAUUGGGUUUAAAGGGUCCGUAGGCGGUUUAAUAAGUCAGUGGUGAAAGCCCAUCGCUCAACGAUGGAACGGCCAUUGAUACUGUUAGACUUGAAUUACAAGGAAGUAACUAGAAUAUGUAGUAUAGCGGUGAAAUGCUUAGAUAUUACAUGGAAUACCAAUUGCGAAGGCAGGUUACUACUUGUGGAUUGACGCUGAUGGACGAAAGCGUGGGGAGCGAACAGGAUUAGAGACCCCGGUAGUCCC
RNAcentral lists this ribosomal RNA (461 nucleotides) under uncultured bacterium. RNAcentral describes it as "bacterial SSU rRNA". It matches the Rfam family "Bacterial small subunit ribosomal RNA", at positions 339 to 797 of the family's 1533-position model. The record is from RNAcentral.